GAUGAACGCUGGCGGCGUGCCUAAUACAUGCAAGUCGAGCGAACGGACGAGAAGCUUGCUUUUCUGAUGUUAGCGGCGGACGGGUGAGUAACACGUGGAUAACCUACCUAUAAGACUGGGAUAACUUCGGGAAACCGGAGCUAAUACCGGAAAAUAUUUUGAACCGCAUGGUUCAAAAGUGAAAGACGGUCUUGCUGUCACUUAUAGAUGGAUCCGCGCUGCAUUAGCUAGUUGGUAAGGUAACGGCUUACCAAGGCAACGAUGCAUAGCCGACCUGAGAGGGUGAUCGGCGACACUGGAACUGAGACACGGUCCAGACUCCUACGGGAGGCAGCAGUAGGGAAUCUUCCGCAAUGGGCGAAAGCCUGACGGAGCAACGCCGCGUGAGUGAUGAAGGUCUUCGGAUCGUAAAACUCUGUUAUUAGGGAAGAACAUAUGUGUAAGUAACUGUGCACAUCUUGACGGUACCUAAUCAGAAAGCCACGGCUAACUACGUG
Molecule: ribosomal RNA, 497 nt
Filed under: uncultured bacterium
Lineage: Bacteria
Description: partial 16S ribosomal RNA
Rfam family: Bacterial small subunit ribosomal RNA
Source: RNAcentral